AACGAACGCUGGCGGCAUGCCUAACACAUGCAAGUCGAACGAGACCUUCGGGUCUAGUGGCGCACGGGUGCGUAACGCGUGGGAACCUGCCCUUAGGUUCGGAAUAACUCCCCGAAAGGGGUGCUAAUACCGGAUAAUGUCUUCGGACCAAAGAUUUAUCGCGUUUGGAUGGGCCCGCGUUGGAUUAGCUAGUUGGUAGGGUAAAAGCCUACCAAGGCGACGAUCCAUAGCUGGUCUGAGAGGAUGAUCAGCCACACUGGGACUGAGACACGGCCCAGACUCCUACGGGAGGCAGCAGUGGGGAAUAUUGGACAAUGGGGGAAAGCAUGAUCCAGCAAUGCCGCGUAAGUGAUGAAGGCCUUAGGGUUGUAAAGCUCUUUUACCCGGGAUGAUAAUGACAGUACCGGGAGAAUAAGCACCGGCUAACUACGUG
RNAcentral lists this ribosomal RNA (433 nucleotides) under uncultured bacterium. RNAcentral's name for it is "partial 16S ribosomal RNA". It matches the Rfam family "Bacterial small subunit ribosomal RNA", at positions 29 to 507 of the family's 1533-position model. The record is from RNAcentral.